AGUGAAUUCUUGAAGCAAGGUGCUUGUCUGAGUAUCUGAGGACAGAGUGGAAUUUUCCAGACCUUCUUGAACCGGACCAGUGGAUGCCUGUGUGGUUUUGAAUCAAAUCUGCUGAUGCUUAUGAAUCUUGCUGGUAUAGAAGCCUGCCAUUCACUACUGUAGGGAUGAUCCCCAUGUGGAGAAACUGACAAAAGCCUUUUUUCUGGGGUGGAGCUGGAAGUUACUCCUAACUAUCUCAGUGUUAAAGCAGGAGGGGAUGAGGAGAAAUUCUUGAAAAUGCUGCCACAUCAAAACCAACUUCUUAUAGAAUGCCACAGUAAAGAGUGGACUUCUCAGGACAACCCACUUAGUAUAGAUUCUCAGAUUCUGAAACAAUUUUGAAAUACUUUCAAUACUCUAAAUUACAGGCGGGAAUCAUUAUUUUGUUUAAUACCUGCUGACAAGAAGUAAAAGCACUUUUUUUUUUUUCUUUUUUUGAGACACAGUCUCACUCUCCAACUCAGGCAGGAGUGCAGUGGCAUUAUCUCAGCUCAAUGCAACAUCUGUCUCCUGGGUUCAAGCCAUUCUCCUGCCUCGCCUCCUGAUUAGCUGGGAUUACAAGCAUGUGCCACCAUGCCUGGCUAAUUUUUGUAUUUUUAGUGGAAACUGGGUUUCACCAUGUUGGCCAGGCUGGUCUCAAACUCCUGACCUCAGGUGAUCCACCCACUUCCCAAAGUGCUGGGAUUACAGGCAUGAGCCACCAUGCCUGGCAAAAGCACAUUUUAAAAAGUGUAUUAAAUACUUAGUCAAGAAAAGGAAACAAAAUUGAAUAAGUGCUCCCU
RNAcentral lists this long non-coding RNA (821 nucleotides) under Pongo abelii (Sumatran orangutan). RNAcentral describes it as "lincRNA". Lineage: Eukaryota; Metazoa; Chordata; Mammalia; Primates; Hominidae. The record is from RNAcentral.